AGAGUUUGAUCAUGGCUCAGAUUGAACGCUGGCGGAAUGCUUUACACAUGCAAGGUCGAACGGCAGCACGGGGCAACCUGGUGGCGAGUGGCGAACGGGUGAGUAAUACAUCGGAACGUGCCCAAUCGUGGGGGAUAACGUAGCGAAAGUUACGCUAAUACCGCAUACGAUCUACGGAUGAAAGCGGGGAUCGCAAGACCUCGCGCGAAUGGAGCGGCCGAUGUCAGAUUAGGUAGUUGGUGGGGUAAAGGCUCACCAAGCCAACGAUCUGUAGCUGGUCUGAGAGGACGACCAGCCACACUGGAACUGAGACACGGUCCAGACUCCUACGGGAGGCAGCAGUGGGGAAUUUUGGACAAUGGGCGCAAGCCUGAUCCAGCCAUUCCGCGUGCAGGAUGAAGGCCUUCGGGUUGUAAACUGCUUUUGUACGGAACGAAACGGCGAGCUCUAAUACAGUUUGCUAAUGACGGUACCGUAAGAAUAAGCACCGGCUAACUACGUG
Molecule: ribosomal RNA, 502 nt
Filed under: uncultured bacterium
Lineage: Bacteria
Description: bacterial SSU rRNA
Rfam family: Bacterial small subunit ribosomal RNA
Source: RNAcentral